GAUCCUGGCUCAGGAUGAACGCUGGCGGCGUGCUUAACACAUGCAAGUCGAACGAAGCACUUUAUUUGAAACCUUCGGGUAGAUUAUUCUGUGACUUAGUGGCGGACGGGUGAGUAACGCGUGGGUAACCUGCCUCAUACACCGGGAUAACAGUUGGAAACGGCUGCUAAUACCGGAUAAGCAUACAGUACCGCAUGGUACAGUGUGAAAAACUCAGGUGGUAUGAGAUGGACCCGCGUCUGAUUAGCUAGUUGGUAAGGUAACGGCUUACCAAGGCGACGAUCAGUAGCCGACUUGAGAGAGUGAUCGGCCACAUUGGGACUGAGACACGGCCCAAACUCCUACGGGAGGCAGCAGUGGGGAAUAUUGCACAAUGGGGGAAACCCUGAUGCAGCGACGCCGCGUGAAGGAUGAAGUAUUUCGGUAUGUAAACUUCUAUCAGCAAGGAAGAAAAUGACGGUACUUGACUAAGAAGCCCCGGCUAAAUACGUGCC
This 494-nucleotide ribosomal RNA is filed under the name uncultured bacterium. RNAcentral describes it as "bacterial SSU rRNA". It matches the Rfam family "Bacterial small subunit ribosomal RNA", at positions 15 to 509 of the family's 1533-position model. The record is from RNAcentral.